RNAcentral lists this ribosomal RNA (372 nucleotides) under uncultured organism. RNAcentral describes it as "bacterial SSU rRNA". It matches the Rfam family "Bacterial small subunit ribosomal RNA", at positions 526 to 896 of the family's 1533-position model. The record is from RNAcentral.
CGGGGGGGGCAAGCGUUGUUCGGAAUUACUGGGCGUAAAGGGCUCGUAGGCGGCCAACUAAGUCGGACGUGAAAUCCCUCGGCUUAACCGGGGAACUGCGUCCGAUACUGGAUGGCUAGAGUUCGGGAGAGGGAUGCGGAAUUCCAGGUGUAGCGGUGAAAUGCGUAGGUAUCUGGAGGAACACCGGUGGCGAAGGCGGCAUCCUGGACCGACACUGACGCUGAGGAGCGAAAGCCAGGGGAGCAAACGGGAUUAGAUACCCCGGUAGUCCUGGCCCUAAACGAUGAAUGCUUGGUGUGGCGGGUAUCGAUCCCUGCCGUGCCGAAGCUAACGCAUUAAGCAUUCCGCCUGGGGAGUACGGUCGCAAGGCUG